AAAUAAGCCCUGAGAAUAAAGAAAAAAAUAUAUGAUUCUUGUUAGCCACUGUAACAUUUUGCACAAUUUGAACACUAACACUACGCUUACCAAAAAAAAAAAAAGAUUCAACUGAAAUAUAAAAUAUAUAAAAGACGCUUUAAAAUAGGACUUAAUUAAAUGUCGAAAACAAAACGUUCCUAAACUUCAAACGCAAUUGUUCUACAAAUUGAAGUUUGAACAUCCAAUUCAGUGAUCCUUUGACCUGCCACUAGAGGGAGCUUGCGUACUGCUUCAAGACAAAUCAGUGGCAUUUUCGUCAUAGAAUGUCGACAAACUUUGACGACGCAGCAGAAAGCACCAAACUAAUGACUCAAUCAUGUUAAAAAAAAACAAACAAAAAAAAAACGGGUGUAUGCUGACUCAUGAUCACAUUUUUUUUUUUUUGACUGUCAGGCCACGUCAGCCCGCGGGGGUGUGUCAGGUGUUCGGCGCCCUGCCGAGCGGCGGCUCUGCUGUCAGCGCGUGCUAUAUUUAAACUGGAGGUCACCUGUUGGGGAGCGCCGCUUUCAACAGCGGGCCAAAGGUCGCCGGCCUUGAUUGACAGGCGGGGGAGCGCCGCCGCCGCUCGGACUUCUUCUGACUCAGUGCUGACACACGCCAAGAGCGGUCGUAUCAGCGCGAGAAGAUUGCACAGUGGUCAAGAGCACAACAGAUGGAGUAGGGUUUCAAGAUAGGGUUUCAACAUGGGUUCGUGUUUAAAAGUAGGGUUUCAGUUCUCGUUUGUGGUUUCAAAUUAGCGUUUGAGCUUCAAAUGAGGUUGUGAAGUUGGUGUUUGGGUUUCAAGUGGACAUUUCAAGCCUCUAUUAUGGCCGGUGUGUAGAAUUAGGGUUUCAAGACAUGAUUAAGGUUUUUCCAUUUCGGGUUUCAAGCAAGGCCUGCGGUUUCAAAUGUGGUUUUUGAAGUCGGCGUUAGGGUUUCAACUUUUGAUUGGUUUGAAGCCAGUAUUCAAAUGAGGAUUUUAAGUCUGCAUUAGGGUUUCAAAUGAGGGCUUAAAGCGCGGAUUUUACAUUCGGUUUCAAGAGGGGUUAAGGACUGUGUUAGGGUUUCAAAUUUGGUUUGCAAACCUCCAUCAGGAUUUUUUUAAGGCAGUUGGGGUUCAAAUGAGGGGCGGGAUUUCAAAUUGGGGAAUUAAA
Long non-coding RNA from Hippocampus comes (tiger tail seahorse), 1175 nucleotides. RefSeq lists it as uncharacterized. NCBI's taxonomy places the organism in Eukaryota, Metazoa, Chordata, Actinopteri, Syngnathiformes, Syngnathidae. The record is from RefSeq and is a predicted model, not a curated record. The transcript is spliced from 3 exons.